RNAcentral lists this ribosomal RNA (1458 nucleotides) under uncultured Bordetella sp. RNAcentral describes it as "partial 16S-23S ribosomal RNA intergenic spacer". It matches the Rfam family "Bacterial small subunit ribosomal RNA". The record is from RNAcentral. Lineage: Bacteria; Pseudomonadati; Pseudomonadota; Betaproteobacteria; Burkholderiales; Alcaligenaceae.
GGGUUUGAUCCUGACAGAUUGAACGCUGGCGGGAUGCUUUACACACAUGCAAGUCGAACGCUAGCACGGACUUCGGUCUGAGCGAGUGGCGAACGGGUGAGUAAUGUCGGAACGUGCCUAGUAGCGGGGGAUAACUACGCGGCGUAGCUAAUACCGCAUACGCCCUUCGGGGAAAGCAGGGGACCUUCCGGGCCUCACUAUUAAACGGCCGAUAUCCGGAUUAGCUAGUUGAGUGAAGUAACGGCUCACCAAGGCGACGAUCCAUCAGCCUGGUUGAGACAGCCACAGCCACACUGGGACUGAGACCUGGCCCGAACUCUACGGGGAGAGCGGCGGUGGGGAAUUUGAACAAUGGGGAAACCUGAUCCAGCCAUCCCCGCCGGUAAUGCGAUGACCUUCGGGUUAGCAAAGCACUUUGGCAGGAAAGAAACGGCGCAGGAUAAUACCCGUGCAACUGACAGUACCUGCAGAAUAAGCACCGGCUAACUACGUGCCAGCAGCCGCGGUAAUACGUAGGGUGCAAGCGUUAAUCAGACCACUGGGCGUAAAAGCGAUACGCGAAGGCGGUUCGGGGGAAAGAAAGUCGAUGCAGGCUUAACUUUGGAACUGCAUUUUUAACUACCGACCAGAGUGUGUCAGAGGGAGGUGGAAUUCCGCGUGUAGCAGUGAAAUGCGUGAUAUGCGGAAGAACACACACCGAUGCUUGAAGGCAACCUCCUGGAUAACACUGACGCUCAUGCACACGAAUAGGGGGAGCAAACAGGAUUAGAUGCCCUGGUAGUCCACGCCCUAAACGAUAUCAACUAGCUGUUGAGACUGAUGCUUGGUAGCGCAGCUAACGCGUGAAGUUGUCCGCCUGGGAGUACGGUCGCAAGAUUAAAACUCAGGAAUUGACGGGGACCCGCACAGCGGUGGAUGAUGUGGAUUAAUUCGAUGCAACGCAACCCUUACCUACCCUUGACAUGUCUGGAAUCCCGAAGAGAUUUGGGAGUGCUCGCAAGAGAACCGGAACGAGUGCUGCAUGGCGCAAUAGUAGCUCAUGUCGUGAGAUGUUGGGUUAAGUCCCCAUAACGAACUGUUACCAAUGCGUUAGUUGCUACGAAAGGGCACUCAAUAGGAACUGCGGUGACAAACCGGAGGAAGGUGAGAUGACAUCAGGUCUCUGGCCCAUAUGGUGCAGACUACACAUCAUACAAUGGUCGGGACAGAGGGUCGCCAGCCGCGAGAGGCCGUCCCAGAAACCCGAUCGUAGUCGGAUCGCAGUCUGCAACUCGACUGCGUGAAGUCAGAAUCGCUAGUAAUCGCGGAUCAGCAUGUCGCGGUGAACCCGUUCCCGGAGUCGUACACACCGCCCGUCACACCAUGCGGAAUUAGGUUUUACAGUAGUUAGCCUAACCGUAAGGAGAGGGCGGUACCACGGCCAGUUCAUGACUAGGGUGAAGUCACGUAACAAGGUAG